This 253-nucleotide ribosomal RNA is filed under the name uncultured bacterium. RNAcentral describes it as "partial 16S ribosomal RNA". It matches the Rfam family "Bacterial small subunit ribosomal RNA", at positions 524 to 776 of the family's 1533-position model. The record is from RNAcentral.
UACGUAGGGCGCAAGCGUUGUCCGGAAUUAUUGGGCGUAAAGAGCUCGUAGGCGGUUUGUCGCGUCUGCUGUGAAAACCUAAGGCUCAACCUUGGGCUUGCAGUGGGUACGGGCAGACUAGAGUGCGGUAGGGGUGACUGGAAUUCCUGGUGUAGCGGUGGAAUGCGCAGAUAUCAGGAGGAACGCCGAUGGCGAAGGCAGGUCACUGGGCCGCAACUGACGCUGAGGAGCGAAAGCAUGGGGAGCGAACAGG